This is a long non-coding RNA of Helianthus annuus (common sunflower), 235 nucleotides long. RefSeq lists it as uncharacterized. The transcript is spliced from 2 exons. NCBI's taxonomy places the organism in Eukaryota, Viridiplantae, Streptophyta, Magnoliopsida, Asterales, Asteraceae. The record is from RefSeq and is a predicted model, not a curated record.
ACUGCAUCGCAUCACAGCAUAUUCCCCCAAUUCCCUCAUUUUUAGGGCUCAGAUUCCCCAAACAUUCAAACAACUUUCAGCUUCAACAAUCACUCAAAUUCCAAUCAAUGGCGACUCCUGAUGUUCUCCCGCACGAUCAUUUCUCAUCAUCUUCAUUCGAUCACACCAAAGGCGAUGCGAAAUCACGUGGAUUGGCGCUCGAGAAGAAGAUUGAAUACCUCGAGAGCUUGAACGA